This 460-nucleotide ribosomal RNA is filed under the name uncultured bacterium. RNAcentral's name for it is "partial 16S ribosomal RNA". It matches the Rfam family "Bacterial small subunit ribosomal RNA", at positions 338 to 795 of the family's 1533-position model. The record is from RNAcentral.
CCUACGGGAGGCAGCAGUGAGGAAUAUUGGUCAAUGGGCGGGAGCCUGAACCAGCCAAGUCGCGUGAAGGAAGAAGGUACUUAGUAUUGUAAACCUCUUUUGCCGGGGAGCAGAGGUCCGGACGUGUCCGGGCCGGGAGAGUACCCGGAGAAAAAGCAUCGGCUAACUCCGUGCCAGCAGCCGCGGUAAUACGGAGGAUGCGAGCGUUAUCCGGAUUUAUUGGGUUUAAAGGGUGCGUAGGCGGGCAUUUAAGCCGGCGGUCAAAUGUCGGGGCUCAACCCCGGCCUGCCGUCGGAACUGGGUGCCUUGAGUGGGCGAGAAGUAUGCGGAAUGCGUGGUGUAGCGGUGAAAUGCAUAGAUAUCACGCAGAACCACGAUUGCGAAGGCAGCAUACCGGCGCCCUACUGACGCUGAGGCACGAAAGUGCGGGUAUCGAACAGGAUUAGAUACCCGAGUAGUC